Molecule: transfer RNA, 73 nt
Filed under: Echinococcus granulosus
Lineage: Eukaryota; Metazoa; Platyhelminthes; Cestoda; Cyclophyllidea; Taeniidae
Description: transfer RNA-Pseudo
Rfam family: tRNA
About the family: Transfer RNA (tRNA) molecules are approximately 80 nucleotides in length. Their secondary structure includes four short double-helical elements and three loops (D, anti-codon, and T loops).
Source: RNAcentral
GCCUUCGUAGCUCAGGGGUUAGAGCACUGGUCUCGUAAACCAGGGGUCGAGAAUUACAUUCCUCCUGACAGCA